RNAcentral lists this long non-coding RNA (396 nucleotides) under Sparus aurata (gilthead seabream). Its description in RNAcentral is "lncRNA (ENSSAUG00010023000.1)". The record is from RNAcentral. Lineage: Eukaryota; Metazoa; Chordata; Actinopteri; Spariformes; Sparidae.
CUGUCAUCUAUUUCUCCUCUAAACACUCACUUCCUUUCUCAGAGCACACUUACAAUCCAGACACACGUGACUGCGGGUUCUGAGGCGCUCGCUAACUUCGCCUGUCAGUUCUCCACAAGUUCCAGUCAGCUUUGUAUCAGGAACAGCCCUCCUCCACAGUUCCCACAAUGCACCUGCAUCCUUACAAACAGCACACUUCCUGCUGAAGGUAUGCAUGUCACAGUUAAGAUUAGACUUGGGAAGACACGUUUGACUGAACCACUGAAGAUAUCCAACUGUGCUGACAUCAUUGGACCACCAACCUCUGUCCUGUAAGUCCAUACGCAAGUAGACAGAUAAUUCCUACCAUAAAUUAUAGAAGAUAGAGCUGAAAAAGCUAAAAUACAUAAUCAGUUA